AAUCAAACUUUAACCUUUAAUACCUUUUAAAUGGUUAGGUUUACGAAAAAGACCUACAAUACAAUAACCAGUUGAAUAUGUAUUCUAAGUUUAUUGUAGGUCUAUAGAUAUCAUAGAAACUACGUAUCUUGAGAUCGCUCCUGGCUACGCACACUCAAAAUAGGCAGAUAAUAAUUAACAACGAAAAAUUUUAAUAAAUAAUAAGAAGAAAUAGCUUAAGUUAGAUUACAAUAUGAGUAUAAGUUCAUAUUGUUAUUGCGGUGAUCGAAGUUUCCUUUAGACUUCAUGGAAAAUCGCCUCGUACAGAUUAUAAUAGAUUCAUCUUUUACAUCGGUAUUUUGCUGUGCUGUCUGGGUAAAGAACAAUUUCUAACAGAAAAGAUCGAGUACGCAUUUUAUAUAUUGAGUACUGUGACCGCUCCAAUUUUAAUGGUUAUACAAAUUCUACAAAUAGGAGAAUGCUUAUACAAAACGGCUCAUAUGAAACACAAUAUUUUGCAAGGGAAAAGUAAAUGCUUUGAAAAUAAUAAUUAGGAUAAGGAACAAACAGUACCGACACGUGGCAGCGAAGAUCAAUGCUACAUUGUUUCUUUACUUAAAGGUUUAAUGCACACAUACAUACGUUAUGAGCUGAAGAAACGGUAGCAGUGCCUGCGCCUUCGGAUAGAGUAUACACAAUACUUCUUAUAAGUGUUUUGUUUUUUGAGGUUAACAUAAUCCAAAUUCCGCCUAAGCCACUAUAUUUACGCAUGCGCACCUACCUAAUCUGCAACCGAAUAUGAGGCACCUAUGCUCAAACGACCAUAUGCACUCAGUCUCAGACAUACAUUUCAGAUGCUAUUCAGGCAUAUCCUUCGUUUCUGCUUUGCAAAUAUGCGUUCAGGAUAGCAGACUUCACAAUGUACAUACAUAUGUACUAUAUCUCGUCAUAUUGUGAAUUAUUUAAGUGAAAUGGACGAAAUUAUAAAAGACUUACAUACAUAAAUAAUAUGCCCGAAGUUGUGCCUUCAAUCAGAAUAUACAUUAGUGCUUAUAGCUAAGGGAGAGCUCGCCUGAUAUAAAAUAUGUACACAUGUUUGUGCAUGGACUAACCACAACAAUACUAGAACGUUUAACAACGGCAGUACGCCCUCCCGCUAUUGUUCUGCUUCACUGAUUUAAAAAAAAAAAAAAAGUUUGUUAAUUACAUUCACUCAUUCCUAGAUAUUCACGAACAUGCAAAGCUAAACGCAUUCGACCAUAAAAAACCUAGUCCAUGUUAAAAAGCGCAAAUAUACGGGGUUCUUCAUCAGUCACUUUCAGCUACGCGCAGUGCUAUGGCUGGUGCAGUGGUGAUGUGUUAAUUGUGAAUGUGUCUGACGAUUGAAUCGAAAAAUAUGUAUACUCGUAUUCGUGUUGCUCAGCUGAAAACGUACGAAGACUAAUCCAUUUAGAUUUUCAAAGCAUGUCAGCGUGUGUAUGCAAAUAUGUAUGUACACAUCGCUCAUUUGCUGCAAGACCGGCAUAAGUCAAAAAAAUCGAUUCUCCAGAAAACGCGUUUAAAGUUUUCAACUGAGUACAACCUUACACGGUGACUCCAACCUUACACCUCUUCUCAAGCGGAGCAUAUAAGAGGUAUUCAUAUGAAUUUUUCACUCAACAUGAAGUAUGAUAUAACGAACAAUUCUGCAGCAUUAACUCAAAAAUCACGUUUUUUGAUUUAUGCCGGUCUUGCAGCAAAUGAGCGAUAUGUAUAUUUAAAGUAAUAUUUUAAUGCUUAAUUCAGAAAAAAUGUACAUGACAGACUCGAAUAUACAUAUAUUGUAAAACAUCGAUUACCAAACGCAUAUACAGGCUUUUAGAAUCCUUAGACCACAGCUAAAAUUGAUCAUCCUUUUGAACAAUCUCAUUAACAAAAUCAAAUGAAAAACUUGAUUUUAUUCGACUUGUUUUAUGGCGUAUUCAAUAGAUUUCUUGAUAUUUUAUGAUCUCGGCUGGAGGGUGGUUAUGACGACCGCCUGCGCCAUGAUGUCAUAAUUGUGCUUGGCGAUUUUAACGUCAGGUAUGAAAGGCAUCCUUGGUGCAACACUUGGAAAAUUCAGUCCCCAUGGCGAAACCUCUCCGAAUGGGUGGAGGCUUAUCGACUCCGCAAAGGUUCGAAAUGUGGUUGGCUGUAGUACUAGAUUGCAGUACAAGAAAAUUCAUCAAACUACUUGGCUGUCUUCGGAUCAAAAAAUUGAAACCAGAUCGAUCAUAUUAUGACAGAUUGAAGACAUGACUCUAGUAUCCUUGAAGUGCGUAUGCUCCGAGGACCUAACAUCAGCUAGGACUACUAUCUUGUUGCAGCUCGUAACACAGAGAAGGUACAACGUCGGAAAGCUACAAUCACAACCGACAGCUAAACGGUUUUCUACUCGACUUGCACUCAUGCUCUCUGAGAGCACUCGGUAUAAGGGAACUGUGGGACGGCAUUUCAAGCUUCUUACGUACAGCUGCAAGCGAAACCAUUGGUUUUUGGAAAGGUCGCUAGAACCGCUGGUACGUUGCGGACUGUCGUGUCGCAGAGAAUAGAAAGUAAAAAUCCUACAUCGAUCGACCGGAAUGGUGGGAAAGAUACCAAGAGUUGAAGAGGGAAGCGAGAUAGACAACAAAGGAAGAGACCAAAAUACGUAAGUAUGAACAGCUUGAGAAGUCUGCCGACAGGAGUACUACUCGAAAAUUAUGCGGAAAGAUGCAGCAACUAACAGAAGGAUUCAAGACCGGAGCAUACUCUUGUAGGACCAUAGGAGGUGAUCCUGGUGUCUGACGUUCGCAGCAUACUGACAUUAUGGAGAGAACAAUUCUCUAGCCUACUGAAUGUAUAUGAAAGUGUAGCAUUUGAAGAUGUCGAACCAGAUUCCCCAAUUGAUGGAUGGCCGGGGCCAAUGGAUGGAUUACCGGCCUAGCUAUUCAAAUACGCAGUGAAGAACUGAUAAAGAGCAUGCAUUAACUUCUUUGUAAGAUAUGGCCGGUUUAAAGCAUGCCCGAAAAUUGAAACCUAAGUGUACUUUGCCCAAUCCAAAAAAGGGGUACCCACCAAUCUGCGCCAGCUACCUUGGGAAAAUUCUUUUUAACACUGUGAUUUUGGACCUGGAAAAUGUACUAUCAACCAAAUCAAUCAAACCUUACGCCAAAUCUUGAAAAAUACUGGUGAAAGGUAGAUCGACGCAUACCACUUCUUUGUCGAUUUUAACCCUUUGACGUAUUUCCACGAGUCUGACUCGUGGUACAAUUUCUGUGCCUAACAUGAUUACCACUAGUCUGGCUUGUGGUACAAUUUCUGUGCCUAACAUGAUUAUCACGAGUCUGGCUCGUGGUGCGUAGAAGUAUACAUUUGAUGUAAAGAGGAUUGAAAUUUUCCCGUUAUUUUCAGCUAAUAAUGUAAACCAAAAACCAUUGUUGCAGGUGAGUACAUUAUAUACUGUGUAAUUAUCCAUAUUUUUUGUUACGCAUUAAAAUUAAAUCGUAGUAUUUUAUUUUUUGUAAAUUUGUAAAACAAGCAUUCGAAAGUUCGUAAGUAUCAAAACUGGUUUGUUUAAUGCAAGUUGUGUGCGAACAGUUGGGAGCGAAUUUCGUUGUGAUAAUUGAUACGUCAAGGGGUUAAAGCCGCCUUCGACAGCACGAAAAGGAAAUCUCUCUAUGACGCUAUGUCUGAAUUUGUUAUCUCCAAAAAAACUUACAAGGCUGUGUAAGCUGAGGUAAAGCAGCACCAAAAGCUGCAUCAUGAUCUCCGAGCUGUUCCAUGCUAAGCUUGGUUUCAGACAAGGACACUUCCUGUCGUGUGACUUCUUCAAUCUAUUGCUGAAGAAAAUAAAGCGAGCUACAAAGCUAAAUAGAGACUGUACAAUCUUCUAUAAGAGUGUGCAGCUGCCGGCGUACGCCGAUGAUAUAUCAUUGGCCUCAAUAACGGCGCCGUUGGCUCUGCUUUUUGUUUUGCGGAAGAUUUAUGGUUCUUUGCGAAUUGGAAGCGGCGAAUAGCGUACUCGAUGAAACGAUGAGCUAUACGAGAUAUACGGGGAUAUUGACUUAGUUCAGCGAAUUAAGAGACAACAGCUGCGCUGGCUAGAUCAUGUUGUCCGAAUGGGAGAGAACCCUCCCUCCCCUUUGGAGGACUUUGAUGCAGUACUCGCCGGUGGAAGCAGAGGAAGAGGAAGACCUCUACUCCGUUGGAUAGAUCAGGUGGGGAAGGACCUGUCUGCACUUGGUAUAUCGAAUUGGCUUCAAAAAGCGAAAAGAAGAAACAACUGACACGCUGUUGGUAUUUCGGCUAUAAUUACGACAGUAAAAAAGAAGAUGAAGAAAAUAGUCUAUAAUAUAUAACAUUAGGAUUGGUUUUCAACGCCUUUAAAAGUUUGUGGUCUUAAAUGAUUUUAGUCCGUUGGCUUGUGUCAUAGAAGGUAGGGCGGUUUAUGCGAAACGUUAUUAGAAUUCACAAUGGCACUAUCGUCAGCACACAAAACCACACAAAAAACAUGAAGAAGGGCAAAAACAUUUGUGCACACAUGUAAGCUAGGAUAUACUUAAUCAUAUAUAUAACAAAUGUUUCCUUAAUUUUUAUUAAUUCAAAAUCAUUGAAAUGUAAUAAUGAUAAUCCUGAAAAACAAUCAAAGGGCUACGCAGGCAUUGUUGGGAAGGAAUAAGAAAUCGUGUUAAGGACAUUUUUUAUUUCUCAUACACAUGCAUAAACCAACUACAUACGUUCUCUCAAAAUAUCCUGUGAAUGACAGUUUAGGAUUUCUACAUAAAUAAAGCACUCUGCGCGACUUGUGCAAUACUAUGAGUAUACUGUAUCAGGAUUAAAUGUAUGUUCAACAUUGGAUUAAUCUAGCGAAAUAGUAAACAUGUUACAGAAAUGUAUAAGGGUGAGAAAUGCCGCACGAUAAGGUGGUACCCUGUUGCUGACGGAUUAAGAAUCCAACAAUGCCGCGUGUGCAAAACUUUCAUUUGUAGUUGACUUUGCCCGCCUGCUGAUGCCUGAAGCAAUGCAGUCAACUGUGAAUAUAAAAUUAAUUGUGGCCAGGCUUUUAUUUCCACAAAAUAAAAUGCUGGUUUAUAUUGUAGGUAUGCCAGAUUCAAGUUAGAUUUCACACAGUUAAAAAGGAAUCUAAGGGAAGGCCGAGUUCGACCGGUAGAAACUACAUAUUUUUUUUUUAUUUUUGUAAUUAAAAAUCUAGCUUCAUUGAAUAUUUCACUUAUUUGUUAGUUGAAGCUUAAUCUUACGUAUUUAUCUAUCUAACAAAUUAUAAAGCCUAAGAAGAAAUAAAUUAUUUUCCAAUCGAUGGAUAUGGGAAUUAGUGAUGGGCGAUGUUGUGACUUUUACGGAACGCUGCUACUUGUGACUGUGACUUUGUAGUAGCAAUGAUUUUAAACUGUGAAUGUGACUGCAAUAAAAGUUGUUACAGACAGAGGCCAAUAAAGUAGAACAAAAUUGUUUCCUUUUUUCAUUUAGGUACAAUGUACAUAUUUAUUAUAAUAAACAGAAAUUAACAUAGGCGCAACGUCUUGGGCGAUCUUCGCUGUUUUUUAAUAUUCAGAAAAAUACUUCAACAAUUUUUUUUUACAAAAUUUAUUAUAAAAGAUAAAUAGUUGUACACUCACAAUAAUCUGAAUAACAAUGAAAAAUAUUAAUUUUUACUCGAAUGCUCUUCAGUCGUAGGAGUGACAAAAAAAAAACAGUAUCUUUAUAUAUUGCGUUGUCAAAAAAGUCUUGCGGUAUUUUCGCUAGUUGCCGCUGAAAGCGCGUAGUUCUAGUUUUAUUCGUCGCAUCGGGUCAUGCCAUACCUUUUUGGAAAGCUCAUUUCACGCGCUAACACGUGUUUGAUUGAUUGUCAUUUCUUUUAAGUUGUUCGUGAGUUAUAGCGUGGAGCAAAAUAAAGAGAAGCAUAUUUUAUAGUACUACUACGAUAAAGGCAAAAAUGCAUCUCAAGCCGCCAAUAAAAUUUGUGCAGUUUAUGGACCCGAUACAGUUUCCAUUUCCACUGCACAACGAUGGUUUCAACGUUUUCGUUCUGGUGUAGAGGUGGUCGAAGAUGCGCCACGUUCCGGAAGGCCUGUCGUCGAAAAUUGCGAUAAAAUAGCUGAAUUGGUCGAAAGAGACCGGCAUAGUAGUCAUCAAACCAUUAUAAACCAUUUAAAGAAGCUUUGUGCCACUAAGAAGCUCGAUGUAUGGGAGCCACACGAAUUGAUUCAAUAAAAAUACCGCAAGACUUUUUUGAAAACCCAAUAAUAUUAACUCUGUCGUCGCGACGUGUCACUCUCACAGUUAUCACCCCUCACCCUAUGCUUUGAAUGUAACAAAUACUUUUAUUACUCCAAAUUUUCAAAAAUGGUAUUUAAAAACUCCAAUUCGGGCAAAAAUUCCUGCCAAUUGUGUCAAAAGUGGGAUAUAGGGCGCAAAUGGGUUUUUUCUAUGGCUUUUAAUAAGAUGUCUUGUAAAUUUACUAUCAAUUUCCUCAAAAACCGUAUUGUGAGAAUUUUGGAACUUCAGAAUUUGCGUGGCUUCUGAUUCCCAAAUUUUAUAUACUUAAUAUCGAAGAUAUUUUGUAAAAGUUCACUUUUGUUCGAACCACCUCAUGAAACUUGUAGGUAUGUAGAUAAAAGAGGCCGGCAGAACAUCAUUGGCCCCGGGCGCCCGAAGUUGUAGCUACGCCACUGCAAAUAACGCUGAAUUGCAAUACUGGCUUUUCCUUCUACGCUACUAUGUGGUUUAUGUUCAUUAGCGUAUAUAUCGAAAGAACUCCAUAUUGAUACUGAUUUUUCUACAUUUUCUUCUGUUCUUUCAGUCUGAAAUUCCAUUUCUUCCCUUUGCAUUUCUAUUAGAUAACGUUUUAUAAGUUUUUUUGUGUUGUGUGCUACUGAUUCAUCAGUCAACACCACUAUUUUGAAUCUGGGGUGGAGAAAAGUGGCUACCGUAAUUGUAUUGCAGUGUUGUAAACUGCUAAAACGUUCCCUAUUUCCAUUUAAAAAAAUUUCAAUCACUUUUUGUACGGUGACCGAAAAUGUUUCAGUUCGCAAGUGUCACAUCUAGUAGACCAUUUGCGAUUGGUAUUACCAGCGAACCUGUGCAAUAUGUUUCACCACUAAUGCUUACUGUAGCACCUCUAAAUGGUUUGCAAAUUUUGCACAAAGCAGCAACAGUCGUCCACUCGUCGCUGGUUAAUAUAGGUAAAUUUUUGUUCAUAAUUAUCAAAGUACAUUUCACCGCUUCCUCCAACUCCGAAAGAUGCUCCAACAUUGCCAACGUGGAGUUCCACCUCAUUUCAACUUGUUGAACUAAUUUUAGAGGUUCUUUACCGCUGUUGCGCUGGUACUUUUCAAACGCUUCAUUCGCUGAAGUACUUUUCUUGAAGUGAGUACCUAUUACUUUAACUUUAUCAGUUACUUGUUCUACUUCAGGAAUGUGCAAUCCUUCUUUUUCAAUUAAAUUAAUUGUGUAAGCCAUACAUCCAAAAUGCUUCCAACCUAACUUAUGGCACUUUUUAUGUUACUACUAUGUAGCAUUACCCGAAACAGCCAGCAAUAUUUUGUCGUUAAUUUUCCGAUCACUUACGAUUAGUUGUAUAGCGUCACCUAAGUUUUCAGCUUUUUUUUUGCACUAGUUGGGGUGACGAUAAAAGUACUGACGUUAGUUCAAAAUUUUCGGAGACAUAAUGUACCGUUACAGCAAUAAAACUAGUUAGACAUGUUGCGCGAUGUCCAACAAUCAGAGGUGAUGCAAAACUUUUCCCCGCUUCUAAUUAUUUCUUAUGUUUACAUUCCUCAUACAAUGCAGGAAUCAUUAAUUUUGAAAUCACACGUGUGCUAGGAAUGUCAUAAGAUGGAUUUAGGGCUGUUACAAAUUCCCGAAAACCUUUGUCCUCAACUAAGGAAAAAGGUUGCAAAUCCGCCGUAAAAAGCUGCAAUAAUUUGCUUGUAAUUUCACUUUUUGAUUUUAGUCGCGCGACAUUUAAAAGCAUAGUUCGUGUUAAAGGCUUUGGUAAUUUCAAAAUUAUAUUAGCUUUUCCAAUUGAUGUUUUUUUUUUAAUUUGAUGUUGACAUUUUAUAUGAUACUUUGGAUUUACAAAUAUCACAUUUAGCGAAAACAGCAUCCACGUCUUUAAAAAAUUGCCACACAUAACUCGUUUUGUUUAUUUUUGAUACAGAUAUCUUUAAUUUUUAUUAUGUAUAAGCAAAAUGAUUUGUAACCGUUUCGUACAAAAAUUAAUGAAAAUGAUCCGUUAUUUUUAAGGAAGCUCAUUUUUUAAGUCACAAUAAAUAUAAUCUCUUAUGUUUUUUUCAAUAUAAGGGUACUCAAUAGAAACUAUUUAAAGUAAACGAAAACAUACUUUUAAAAAUAUUUCAAAGACCAAUAUAUCUUAUAUAUAAAAAUGAAUCGCAAAAUGUGUUGCUAAGCGUAUAACUCAACAACGCCUGGACCAAUUUGGCCAAUUCUUUUUUUCUAAAUGUUCGUUGAGGUUCAAAGAUGGUUUUUACGACGAGAAAAUUUCGAAUAACCCUUUUCCAAAAGUAAUUUUUUUUAUACAAAUUUACAAAAAGUAACUUUUUUAUACAAUCUUUUUUUAAAUUUUUUUUGCUUUUUUUCAAUUAUUUGAAUCGUUUGCUUUCUUUAUUCCGGUUACUCAAAAAAAAUUAUUUAGUGAAAACGUUAUGUGUGUUUCACAUAAAGUGAUCUAUUACACAUUUAAAUUUAUUACGAUGCCACGAAGAGGUGACGCUAAUAUCGUCCGGCGUUCUUUUUGGCGUCAACAUACAUUGGCAACGCAAGGCACAUGACCGAGUACUACCAGAAUGCGAUGACAUACGUGCGAAAUUAUAGAUCGCGGUCAAUCAACAAGCGAUCGUCACGAUGUCACAGCACGUCUUUUCAAACAAGAGUUACGAUGUUUGAUGGACUUUAUCUUGAAGCAACGUAUAUGUGGUGCUGUUAGAUGCUAGAUGUACUCUGUUGAGUGGCAAAAAAGAGAUCAAAUUGAUGAAAUCAUUUCUGCGGAAACUCCUGAUGCAGAGAAAGAUCCAGUACUAUCCGAAGUGAUGAAAACCAAUAUGACUCAUGGACCUUGUAGACACUAUAAUCCCUUUUCGGAACACAAACUAAAAAUGAUGGAUAUCCACUCUGUUGGGGUCACUCAAAAGACGACAAUGGCAUAACAUUCAGCAUUCAAUUUAGAAGAGUGAAUAUCGAAGUUGACAACACAUGGAUCGUACUAUAUUCCCUAUUAUUGUCUAAUUCACAUUCAAAACUCUUAUCAAUGUUGAGUAUUGCAGUUUGGUAUAAUCGAUAAAAUACGUUUUUAAGUACGUCAAAGGAAGCAAUAUGGCGGUUAUUGGUCUUCAACAAUACGGUCGAUACGUGAACUUCAAUAAAGCGUUUUGUAGGACAUUUACUUUUGCAAUUCGUGGACGUUUUCGUGUUGUGCGUCUCUCAGUUAUCCGUUUGCGAGAACAUUGCUCUAUUCGGAAAUAUAAUACAUGGAACACAUCGUCAAAGAAAUCGUUACGCAGAAAGCAAGGCCAACCAGUAUAUAGACAUCCAGGUGUGUUCUCAACUAAUUUAAGUAUAAAUAAAACCCAUCCACCCGAAAAACGACUAUUGUUUCUACCUUCGGUUGCUAUUGAUUAAUGUACGCGGUUCAACUUCAUUUGGGUCAUAGCGUACUGUGAAUGGUACGGUGUGUGCAAGUUUUGGAGAAGUAAGCCAGCAAUUACCAUUGCUGGAACGUGUUAAUCACUGAAAUCAAAAUGAAGUUCGCACACUUUUCGCGACAAUCAUUUCGACAUAUCAGCCUUCAAAUCCGCGUCAAUUAUGGGACACGAACAAAAAUGACAUUGCCGAAGACAUUUUACAUCAUCUUCGCAAAGAAAAUGGAAAUGGGUUAAUUCCGGUUGAUACUUCCGGUGGUUCGAUAUCAAUUCCAUUCGCCGUUUAUCAAUUCACAAAAGAUGAACUCAUUACGAAUGUUCGGACGUUGGUCAAAUUAUCGUAACUAUGAUUUCUUAAGUGCACGCGAGUUACAUAUAUAGUUCCACAGACGAAAUCAUAAGAAAAUACUUAAAUCAACCCAACAACAUUACUGUGUAAAACAUUUAUUUAUUUAAUUGAUUUAAAUUGACACUCACAUAAAUAUGUAUAACGAAAAUGCAAGAGUCGUUGCUUCAUAAAAAUGAAAAACGAUACUUGCAAUGUAAACAAAUUGUAUUUAAACAUUGUGGCUUAAAUUAAAUUUAUGAAUACUACAUGAAACGUUAUUACUUUUACUUACAUAAGCAAAAGUCAAAGUAAUAUCCAAUUUCGUAGGAAUAUUUGUACGUCCACCUAAAAAAGUACUUAGGCCACAUAAAUGUCAAUGCACCGAAUUUAAUAUUUGGAAAAGUAUUAAAAGAUUACAUAUAUGAUUUUGUUUACAUUUGCUUAUUUUGAUCAAUAUUGAAGGUUUCAUUUUAAGAACGAAAUUAUUGUAAAAUUAGUCUUAAGAUUCACCUGAAUAAAGGAAGAAAUAACAGCUUAAGCUUUUUAAUUCAACCUUAUUUCAUUUCUCGCGCAAUGUUAGCUGACAAUCUACAGGACACAAUGAUAGUCGCAUAGUGUGUAGCAUAAAUUUGGAAAUGCUGUGUUUUUCACACGGCCAGAUAUACGUGUCGUGCUCACGAGUUAGAAAAUAAUAUUUUCUGUACACCUGAACAGAAACCAAAAAAUUUUAUUUAUCAAGCUGCGUUACAUUGAAAAAAAAAAAAAUCAAAUGAUAAAUUUAACUUUCUUUUCAUUUCAAAACACAUAAUUUCAGGAUAACGGCUGCGGGGUCAGCAAGUAUGUAUAUAAAAUUUAUGCAAUUUUAAGAAUAAAAGUUUUAUAAUUGGCUUUAGUACCGCAUGGAGGUUUCUCUAAUCAAUUUAAUUUGUACAUAAGUAUUACCAGUUUAAAGCUAUGUGUGUAAACUAACUUAUUUUAUAUGUCAACCAAUUUUUACUUAUCUAAAAUUGAAGAUAACUCUUAGUUUUAAUGAAUAUGAAUUCAUCACAGCCGCAGUUAUUUAUGUUACACUGUGAAUGCUAUUUUGCAACAGUCGCAACUUUUAUGUUUCACUGUGAAUGAUAUUUUGUCACAGUCGCAAUUUUUUAAGUUCCACUGUGAAUGCUACUUUAUCACAGUCGCAAUUUUUCAUAUAAUACUGUUACUGCUACUUUGUUGAAGUUUCCCAUGUUACUGCUACUUUAGGGAAUUUGUCACAGCUGUGACCAGUGAUUUUUAAAUAGCAGUGACAAAAUCACAGUUACUGAAAUAUUUGCUAUCUCUAAUGGAAAUUUGUAAGUUGCAUAAGUGCGGCAGGGAUUUUGUGCUAAAAAAUCUUUUCAGACAAUUUUGUGAUAGCUGGACUCAGUAUUGUUUGUUUGAGCACGCGUCUAAGAUUGACAACGUAAAAAAAAUACGCAAUUACAAAAGGCGAAAACGAAACCCAAGCGAAUGUAAAUGUGAAUAGUGUUUAUAGUCCUGAUACCGUAGCAGAUAAUCACGCACGAUUCCAUUACGUUAACUUUUAUAUCAAAGAUGCAUCACCCUCUGGAAGCCGAAAUCAUCGAGUCUGAACAUCUUGAUAGCACUGUUUCGAUUGUCAGGAGCUAAACAUUGCUUAAAACUUCGUUUGAAAUCGUUUAAAUAAAAUUAAGUACAAAAAGAAACUCGACGUAUGGGUUUCUAUGUGUUUAUCGGUAGAACUAUAAUAUUUACUAUGAGCUACUCCCAUAUGGCCAAACUUUUAAAUUGUACCUGUACUGUCAAAGAUCUGAGGAUCUGAAGCAAGCAAUCAGUCAGCUUUGAUAAACAAGAGAACAAUUAGGACAACGCAGGUUGUUAUGCACCUACCUUAUAAAUAACUCGAACCCGGAACCAAGUCAUCGUUAUCUGUUCCCUUAUAUGAUAAAUGACUUUUCUAGUGAAAAUUUCACCUCAAGAGAGGCUUGUGAAAAUUGACUGUUCCAGUUUGCCGGUAGGGACGAAGGUUGAAAAUACUUUCGAAAUGCCAGAAAGUUAUGCUUGCAACAUUUUUAACUCCCUAAGAUAGGUUUGAAUUAUGUAUAUUAUGUUAACACGGCAAGUAUGAUGAGUCGAAUUAACAGCCUAAUGCGUGUGGAUCCACCCGUGCAAGCGAUAACUUGACGAACAAUUGAAUGUGAAAUAAGUAGAAGUGGUCAGGGCAGACAGAUGCGCGUUCGGUCCACAUGUACACAACUGCUCACUUGGAAAAAGUCAAAAAUUAUAGCCGAGAUAACAACAGCGCGCCAGUCGUUUCUUCGUUUCGCUAGGUAGCUCCAAUUAGAUAUUCUAAGCGAAGCCAGGUCCUUCUCUACCUGGUCCUUCCAACAGAGUAGAGGUCUUACUUUUCUUCUUCUUUCCCUGGUGGGUACUGCGUCGAUUACUUUCAGAGAUGGAGUAUUUUCGUCCAUUCGGACAACAUGACCUAGCCAGCGUAGCCGCCUUUUAUUUCGCUGAACUAUGUCAAUGUCGUCGUAUAUCUCCUACAGUUCAUCAUUCCAACGAAUGCAAUAUUUAUCGUGGCUAAAGCGCAAAGAACCACACAUCUUUCGCAGAACCUUUCUCUCGAAAACACGCAAUGUCGACUCAUCAGUUGUUGUCAUCAUUCAAGCCUCUGCGCCAUACAACAGGACGGGAAUUAUGAGUGGCUUAUAGAGUAUGGUUUUUGUUCAUAGAAAAAGGACUUUACUUCUCAAUUGAUUACUCAGUCCGAAGUAGCACCUGUUGACAAGAGUUAUCCUGCGUUGGAUUUCCAGCCUGACAUUGUUGAUGCUGUUUAUACUGAUUCCAAGAUAGACGAAGUUAUUGACUUCAAAGUUUUCACUGUCAACAGUGGCGUGACGAUAUCAAUAUCAUCGGCAUACGCCAGCACCUGUACACUCUUGUAAAAGAUUGUACCUGCUCGAUUAAGUUCUGCAGCUCGAAUUAUUUUCCCCAGCAGCAGAUUGAAGAAGUCGCACGAUUGGGAGUCGCCUUGUCUGGAACCUCGAUUGGUAUCGAUCUGCUCGAAAAUGUCCUUCCCGAUCCUAACUGAAGCUGAAGAAAUAUUCCCUCCAUAUGAAGUGGGCAUCAUUCACUAGAUCACCCCGAGAGAAAUCACCCUCCAGCCUGCUGAAUGGCAGUGAAAGCAUAUUCCCAGGAGAAGACAAACCCGAAUCCCCAAUCGAUGACGAUAGAGCAGACGUUCCAUUACCCGAUCAUGAAGAAGUUGGAAUAGCAAUUAUCCGCCUGAAGAACAACAAAGCGUCGGUGGCCGAUGGAUUGCCGGCCGAGCUAUGCACAUACGGCAGUGAAGAACUGAUAAGGAGCAUGCAUCCGCAUCUUUGUUGAAUAUGGUCGGACGCAAGCAUGCCCGACGAUUGGAAUUUAGGUGUGCUCUGUCCAAUUUACAAAAAGGAAAACUCCACAAUCUGCGCUACUACCGUAAGAUAAACCUCCUCAGUAUCGCAUAAAAGGUUCUAUCGAGCAUAUUGUGUGAAAGAUUAAAGUCCACCGUCAACGAAUUGAUUGGGCCUUUUCAGUGAUGCUUUAGGCCUGGAAAACAACUGACCAGAUAUUCACCAUGCGGUAAAUCCUGGAAAAGACCCUUGAAAAGAGGAUCGACACUCACCACCUUUAUGCCGCUAUAUCUGAAUUUAAUAUCCAUAAAAACUAAUACGGCUAUGUAAACUGUUGAGCAAUAUCAAAAGCUUCAUCAGGAUCGGGAAGGACCUCUCCGAACCUUGCGAUACCAAGCGACGUUUCAGGCAAGGCGACUCCUUAUUGUGCGAUUUCUUCAAUCUACUCUGGAAGUAAAUAAUUCGAGCCGCGGAACUAAAUAGAGAAGGUACCACCUUCUGUAAGAGUGUACAGCUGCUGUACGCCAAUGAUAUUGAUAUCAUUGGUCUCAACAACGGCACCGUUAGUUCCGCUUUCUCCAAAUGGGUCUGGUAGUGAAUGAGGGCAAGACGAAAUAUCUCGAGUCAUCAAACAAGCAGUCUUGGCACUCGCGAGUUGGCUCUCACCAUCAACACCAGCAACAAUGUUACUCUCGAAAUCCAACGCAGAAUAACUCUUGCCAACAGGUGUCACUUCGGAAUGGUCACUCAUUAUUCCCGUUCUGCCAUAUGAUGCAGAGGCAGGGAGCUGUAUGAGAUAUACGAUGACAUGGGCAUAGGUAAGCUAAUUAAAAGACUUCACUUCUGAAAGUAUUCGACGCAGUACCCGCCGGAACAUGCAGAGGAGGAGUAAGGCCUUCACUCCGUUGGAAAACCCAGUUGGAAAAGGACCUGGCUUCGCGUGAAAUCUCUAAUUGACGCCACAUUGCGAAAAGAAGAAACGAUUGACGCGCUGUUGCUAUAACCGCGUGGGCGGUGUCUUCAUCAGUAAAGAAGAAGAAUAAUUUAUAAUUAUAUGUAUAUAAUUUUAAGAACUCCUGAUGAGGUUUACGUUCUUUUGGUACCUAGAAAUUAAGAGAUUGUUAAUUUAUAUUAUGGAGUUGAAAAAAGUUCUUUACUGUUGAAAAUAGUCCGCAUUUUGAAUAAGAACAAGUAACCAAUUUAAAAAAAAAAAUAAUAUAAUUUAAUUUGUACACUUGUUCUAUUCCUCCCACUCUGCACAUUAUUUGCUUCGGAUACCAUUUUUGUCGACCGUCUGCCAGCUAAACCCUUACAUAUUAUGCCUUUAUCAACAUAAACACAUAUACAUAGCAGCAAACGCUUCAAAAGUUAUUGCCGACUCAUAACAUAGUUUCUAGUGUUGGCAGAAGGCUGGAGUGUGCGCUCGAAGUUGCAUCAAUCGUUUUUCCCUAUUUCUUUUCCAAUUCAAUGCAUAAUUGUGCAUGGAUGCGUAAAUUUACGGAUUUUUGUACAAUUUCAAAGCUCCGGCUUAGUACGAUAAAAUUUGUUGUACGUUUCCUUAAGUUUGUAUUGGUAAGAUUUGGUGGCUUUCUUCUUAGAGCUCUUCUUUGAUCCCCUCGUCCUGCCGUCCUAUUGGGUAUAUAUACUUUUCAAUAUUCUAUAUAGAGACUGGAAAGCAAAACGAUUUCAGACAAUGACGAAGUUUAAACACUUUUUAACCUAUUUUUACAAAUAAUUGGAUCCAUCAAGCUUCAUAUCAACAUUGAAUAUAUGGUUAUCAUCAUCCACUAAGAUAUCUCAAAUUGGGGUUUUUCAUAUCUGAAACAUAUUUUAACACUUAGUUCGGUGGACGCCUAUUACACACUAUGCUACUGUGAGCAAAAAAUAGUAAGACUUCUUAAUUUAAAUUUCGCGCGAAAAACUUUUUUUAUUUUUACUAUUAUUGACAUCUGUGCCAAAUGUCACAUCAAAGCAAUCAUUACUGAUAGUAUACGCUUGUCUUUCUGAAAUACAUAAAUUGCAUUCUGUGAUUUUUACGAUGAGUGAAAUUGUUCAACAAAGAAGUUCCAUAAAAUUUUGUAUGUGGAAUCAAAUUUGUGGUGCCGUUUUUGAUCUGUACAAUUUAUUCAAAGAGGGUUUUGAACACGUUGACUACGAACAACUUCCAGCACGGUCAUCAACUUCAACUGAUGAUCAACAAGUCGAUACAAUAAAGGAAUUGCUGCUUAAAAAUCGGAAGGAGUAGUGAAAACCACAAGAAAAGCUCAUUUCAGCCUGAGAAAAGUGAUAGAAUUAGUUCCAAAUGCAGUCAAUUUUUGGAAAAACUCGGUCGCGUUAACGUCUGUGAAAAAAUAAUUUUCUACUACCAGGACAUUAUUAAACGCAUUAUUACUAGCGAUGAGUCUUGGAUCUAUGGUUACGAGUCGGAAACAGACAAUCAAUCGGCCGAAUAUCGUGACAAAGGUGAAUCGAAACCGAAAAAAAAACACAUCAGAGCGGGUCAAAAAUCAAGAUUAGGUUGAUAGUUAUCUUCGAUUACCGAGGUGUGGUGCUCUCCAGAUUCCUUCCGACCGGUAAACUGUCAACAAAAAGUACUAUAUGAGUGUUAUGCGUCAUUUGAGUGAAGCUAUUCGUAAAAAGAGACCGGGAUUAUGGGCCGACAAUUCUAGGUUUUUGCACCACGGGAAUAUACAUACAUAUACUGUAUUAAUUCUUCGUGAGUUUUUCGCUAAAUUUUCAACCAAUAUCGUGCCUCAAACACUGUAUUCGCCUGAUUUAGCUCCAUGUAACUUCAAGCAAACUCAAAUGGAGUCAAUUGAAAACAUAAAACUGAAGUGCUACGCGCAUUGAAAGCUAUUCCGAAAAUUGACUUUAACAACUGUCUCGAGGAUUGAAAAAAACGUUGAUACAAGUGUCUUGGGGAGAAUUUUAAAGUUGUGAACAACUGUUAUACUAAUUUUUUCAUGGUAAUUUUAUGUGCAGAAAUUUCUACACACAUACAUAUAAUUAUGUACAUAUAUAAAACAUUCAUGUUCUUAAUCGUAGGUAAGUCUUUCGAUUUGUUUCGAUACAUAAAAAAUUACUUUCCACUGGAGGAGCUGGUUCUUAAAAUACUUCUUAACGCCUCAACGAAUGCCAAAUUUUGUUUUUACUCCCUCAAAAUUAAUGUAUAUUAGGCCCCAAAUCAGUUGCGUUCCUUUUGCACAUAUAUGUAGGUACCUGCGUUCAAUAAAAAUACAUCACCAAAAAUAAUUGAAAUAAGAUCAUGUGAGCAGUUUGUUUAAAAAGAUAGAAUAUUAAGGCAAUUUUUAUUUGUUUGACUACAUAGUAUGCAGUAUAGUUGUUCACAAAAUUUUUUCUCAAAAAUGGUUUUUAUAAGAGACAGCCAAUAAAUUAAAAAAAAAAAAUUACAAAAAUGUACAAGCCGGGAUAUUCAUGAUUUAAAUUAAAACAAUGUGAAGUUAAUUUAAAACGAUUAAGUCAUUUUCGUCACUAACAGUAGAUUCAUCCCUUCUUAAUUUUUGAAGGCAUGGAAUACACUUGGACCUGAAUUAACUUCCCUAUAAGGGAAUCAUACCUAAGCAGUUUUAAAAUAUUUAUUAAUUGACUUUUGUUUAACACCUUCACACUUCAUUAUGUGCCAUAUAAGCUUAAAUCGGGGGAAUUUCCUUGCCAAUCUAAGCGUUGAAUCCUUAAAUAUUAAAGAUCCUUGAAUGUAUUGGCAAACUAAAAAUUAAAAUUCGAACUGAAUGAGAUCUUAUACAAAAAUAGUGUAUACAUGUUUUGUACAAGAUUUGUUUCCAGUCAAAACUUAGCCAUUUUGCACGAUGACAUGGCGCUGAGUCAUCUUGGAGAAUUAGGCGAUCCCUAUGAGGGUAAUGCUCUUCAAUUGCGGGUACUAAAAAUUUUUAACCACUGUCGCAUAUUUUUGUACAUUCAUUAUUCCAUGAACAAGGUAUAGAGAUCCCAAAAACAUGGUAUGAAAAGCCUCAUCAAAAUAUUUGUCUUUGAGGAAAUUUAAUUUUCUUUACUACACAAUUAUACUGGAACCUCUCACUACAUCAAUGGCGCACGUAAAGCGAAUUUUGAGAGCUUAGCAAAUUAAAUUUUCUUUCAUCAUUUUUAAACCAGUAAAGGUGUCCAGACUACAUUUUUUGUGUUAAUAGUGGUUUUUUGACAGGACAUUUUCCAUAUAAACCUACAUUUCUUAUCCCUCGUAUGGUCGCAAAACUUAAGUCCACUUGCUGAAAGUGCACUUUUAAAAGCGGGCUUAAACUUAUCCGUCGCAGUAAGUUGACUUUCGAAGACGACCUGAUCCUUUUUUUCGUAAAAGACGAACAUUAGUUGAAUGUCUACAACCAAUUCUAGCUACUAUUUGCCGAGAUCACUUUUCUUCAUCUUAUGCCAAUUUGGGACUUUUUGCUCACGCCUUAAUUUUUUAAACUUUUCAAGUACACAACCAAAAUAAGACUAUAAUGAAAAGUGUUCAACCCAUUCCCAUUUCAUUGGAAAUAAUUAAUUUUUUAUUGCCUACUACAUUUUAUAGAAUUUUUCUAAAAUUUACAGUUAUAUAGCUAAAGUUUACAAAAUUGGCGGUGCGUUUUUAUUGGAUGCAAGUGUACCUAAUUGUAUAUGCGCGCGUAUACAUAUGUUCAUACAUAACAGAAUACGGAAUUGUCACGAAAGUGCCUCUUAAAGCAAAAUCAAUUUGUGCUUAUGAUAAAUUCAAUUUUAAAAUUUUUAAUUUAAAAAAGUUCGUCGCUUCAAUAUGACCAUAAAAAUUAUAUUACUUCCAUCUGACUUGUUUCGUAAUUCAGUUAGUGAUGCUAUCACUUAAUGGAUGCUGGUGAAGUGAUCGUCUCUUUACUAGACAGACGACAAUGGGGUUGCCAAAAAAUUAUGCUUGAUAGAAGCACACACAUGCGCAUGAGUUAUACAUACAUAUGGGCAUAUUGUGUAAAUAUAUCCUUGAUUUUGGUCUGUCUGUGAGAAAUACAAGUUCUAAGGAUAAUUGAAAAAUAUUUACAUUUCAUUCUUCAAAUUUACAUCAAAUUGUUGGAAACCACAUUAGUACCUAAGUUCUGUUGACAUUCUGGACAGUACAGCUUGUUAACUUAAUCAAGAAUAUGGAGAUUGGUUCAUGUCCAAAGCAAAGGCCGAGUAAUUGUUGAAUAAUAUCUAUUGAAAAGUUAACCAGAAAUCUUGCAAUUCUCAUAUGCAACUUAUUUACACCCUUUAUAAUGAGUAUAAUUUGUUCCAUUAUUUGUUUAUAAAAAAGUACCUUUGUAAAGUCUCAUAAAUUCAACGUAUAUUCCAUUGGAAAGCUGAGACAAUAUCGUUAACAUUAGGCGGACUAUUCAUAUUGACAUACAUACUUUUCUUUGUAUACGCAAAUUUACUUUUUUCAAAAGUUGAUUUUUUUUUUUAUAUUGAGUCAAAACAAAAAAUUACCUGUCCAAUAUUUUGCCUUAAAGAACAUAAAAAAAUGUUUCGCACGAAAAAAAUGUUGAAUGCAAAUUUUGGAACAUGUGGCUAAAAGUUCUGUGCAUGGAACAUAGAAACAUAAUCAUUUUAUUCCCAGAAUUCAUAAACCAUCAGUUUAACACACUUUUGCUAUUUUAAUUGAAGCCCGAUUUCCUGGGAUACUUUGGGCAUCCGCAGAUUUCAUCCGACGUGUUAUGUAUUUGUCGUUUUGUAUAAGCAUAUACAGAAAUAAGAAGUUUUCAUUAAAUAAAAACAUUAGUGACAUUAAGUUUUUAACAGUUGGUAAUGCAGGUAGGUGGAAUCAGACGAGCCGAUGUGAGCAUAUUACACAAAUACCGUUCUUCGAAAAAACAUAGGAAGCUAUAACUUACUGAUUGGCCAAAUAAGCUACAAAACUCAAAUUUGGUACAGGGGUGGGAAUGGCGUACAGGAAAGGGGUGUGUGGUACAAAAGGCGGAUGUGAUAACGCCCUAUAAUAAUGAAUUUAUUGUAUGUAUUACAAACUACCAAAGUUUUGUUAAGCUUUGUGCAAAUAAUAUCAUUACUGUUAAAACAAACGAAAUCGGAGAAUAGGCGCGUCCACCUCUGCUGCUUUGUUUUGAACUAUCUAAAGUGCUAAAACGGUCCAGUUACACCAGAAAAUUAAAUUAAACGAAUGGAACUAAUAAGAAUAUUCUCACAAUUAUACCAGGGAAAUUUUACAAUGGGCGUUUGCAAUAAAGACUUUAGUUCGACAUAUGAGAAAAGAUUUAUAUUAAAGUUGUUGUUGUAGCGUCAGAAAACAGUCCUGAAGGAGGUGCCGAAUUGACAAUUCUUGCCUGGAUAAAAACCCGCGUCAGUUGCGCUUACUUAGGUGCGAAUGUCCUGGGAACGGAUCGUUAUGCGUGCGGAUUCCUUAAGCAUACCAAUUCCUUUAGCUCUGCUUGACUUUAUAUCCGAUGAUGUAACAAAAUUACGUUACGUAUGGGAUAUGGGAUAGGUUUUCAAGAUACCAAAACUGUCAAAUGUAUUGUGCUUUUCACGGACCAUUCAGUUUGAAUCGCAGCAAUGUAUAUGCUACGGUGAGCCAAUCCUCAAAACUUUUUAGAACAUUGCAGCGCCGCCUUAAACAGUAAUCUGUGCAAAACUUCGUAAAGAUACCAUUUCAAAGAUAAGACUUUUCCAUACAGCAACUUGAGUUUGAUCAAUCAGUUUAUAUGGCAGCUAUACACUAUAAUGGUCCGAAUGUGUGUAAAAUUUCAGAUCGAUAUCUCAAAAACUAUCUAGUUCGCUCAUAUAUGAUCAUAUAUACAUUUUACAGGGCCUGCGAUAUUUCCUUCAGGGUAAGAAAAACUUUUAAUCCAGGUAUUAAAGAACCUUUUUGUAUGUUAUGUAAAAGAAUUCACUAUUCAUUAUUUGACGAAAUUGAGAAUGGAUUACAACAAUAUCAACUUAUAUAGGCCCCGGACAUAUGUAUAUAGCUUCUUCACAAAUUUUUGGAAUAUUGGGACUAAGAGAAAGUGGCAUAAUAUUGUGAUACCUCAAUUAUUUACAGAUAUAUUCGGUAUUUAGUCCACUAUAAUAGCGGAAAUCAGUACAUGUAGUAAAUGGCGGCAAUGGUAAUUUAUGGACGUAUUCCACUUACAUUUCGCACUAUACUUCAGUACAUCUAUAAAAAGAUUUUUAAGUAAUUCUAUU
Molecule: long non-coding RNA, 20543 nt
Organism: Bactrocera dorsalis (oriental fruit fly)
Lineage: Eukaryota; Metazoa; Arthropoda; Insecta; Diptera; Tephritidae
Exons: 4
Source: RefSeq, a predicted model, not a curated record